GAUGAAUGCUGGCGGCGUGCUUAACACAUGCAAGUCGAGCGGUAAGGCCCCUUCGGGGGUACACGAGCGGCGGACGGCUGAGUAACGCGUGGGAACAUGCCCCAAAGUGAGGAAUAAGCUCCAGAAAUGGAGUCUAAUGCCGCAUAUGAUCUUCGGAUUAAAGGAUUUAUCCGCUUUGGGAGUGGCCUGCGUACGAUUAG
RNAcentral lists this ribosomal RNA (200 nucleotides) under uncultured bacterium. RNAcentral describes it as "partial 16S ribosomal RNA". It matches the Rfam family "Bacterial small subunit ribosomal RNA", at positions 28 to 244 of the family's 1533-position model. The record is from RNAcentral.